CGUCCCGGGGACUGGCAGCCCGCCCCGCGGCCCGCCUCCUGCCCAGCCUCGUCUGCUAUGUUUCCAUGGGCUGUGGACCCUUCUCUCCCGCGGAGGGCGCAGCCGCGGCUACUUGGUAGCGGGUUCGGGGCCCGGCCGCGCCUGCGGCGGCGAGAACCAUUCUGGACCGACCUCGGGCCUGCGGAGGUUGUGUGCGGCGUCUGCGGGGUGCAGCGGCCUCACUUCUGAGCGCAGCAAUCGACCCAGUUUUUUACCUGUGAAACUUCGUUUCAAACAGGGAAAUGAAGGGACUAACACCCAGGAUGGCAUAAAGACUAUUUUAAACUGACAACAGGUGAACAAACAGCAGCUGCAGAAAAAAGCCUUCCUGCAUUCCCUUUGAUGAGUAAAGCAGGCCUUUCUGAGAAUUCAGCUGCCAUAACCCUCUCCAAGGGGACCUCUGUAAGGGUGGAGCCUGACUUUGCAUCAGGACCUCCCAGGGAAUUGUGUAAAUACAUCCUAUCAGAACCUUCCAUACUUUCCCACUGCAGCCUUAACACCCUCCUCACCCAUCCCAUUAAGCUGUUGUAUAAAAUCUUAUCUCUGUACUUCAGAGAGCUACUCCUUAUAGCGUGCUCCUGCAUACAUAUAUAAUAAACUUUUCUCCUAUUAAUAUGUCUGUUAGCACACAGGCCCUCAACCACUUGAACCUAAGUUGGUAGAGGCAAAGUUUUCCUCCCAAUGACACUUUCUAGACUUCUCCGGAUACACUAGAGUGUUCAAACACAUAACGAAGUUUGGAAACCUUGACUUUGUUUGAAGUUGGAAGAAUCUACUGUACAUGUACACGGGCUUUCUGGGAAUCCUUUUAAAUUUGUCUCAAACAAUAAACUUUGGGUAGUCACCCUGUGUGUUUAAUAA
This is a long non-coding RNA of Equus quagga, 900 nucleotides long. RefSeq lists it as uncharacterized. The transcript has 3 exons. The record is from RefSeq and is a predicted model, not a curated record. NCBI's taxonomy places the organism in Eukaryota, Metazoa, Chordata, Mammalia, Perissodactyla, Equidae.